CGGCGAGUGAAGCGCCACAGCUCAAUUGAAUCUGCUCUUCAGAGUCCGAGUUGUAUUGCAGAGGCGCUUGGCGUUGGCAGCGUCCAAGUUCUUGAACAGGACGUCACAGAGGGUGAGAAUCCGUACGUGGUCGCUAUCCUUUCGCCGUGUAAAGCCCUUCGACGAGUCGAGUUGUUUGRGAAUGCAGCUCUAAAUGRGAGRUAAAUUUCUUCUAAAGCUAAAUACUGGCCAGAGACCGAUAGCGCACAAGUAUGAUMGAAAGAURAWAAGUMCUUGGAAAGAGAGUCAAAUAGCACGUGAAAUUGUUGAAAGGGAAGCGCUUGCAGCCAGACUUGCCUGUAGUUGCUUAUCCGGACUUUUGUCCGGUGCACUCUUCUAUAGGCAGGCCAGCAUCAGUUUGGGCGGUUAGAUAAAGGUCUCUGUCAUGUACCUCUCUUCGGGGAGGCCUUAUAGGGGAGACGACAUGUAACCAGCCUGGACUGAGGUCCGCGCAUCUGCUAGGAUGCUGGCGUAAUGGCUGUAAGCGGCCCGUCUUGAAACACGGACCAAGGAGUCUAACAUCUAUGCGAGUGUUUGGGUGUCAAGCCCAGACGCGUAAUGAAAGUGAACGGAGGUAGGACCCCUUUGGGCGCACUAUCGACCGAUCCUGAUGUCUUCGGAAGGAUUUGAGUAAGAGCAUGGCUGUUGGGACCCGAAAGAUGGUGAACUAUGCUUGAAUAGGGUGAAGCCAGAGGAAACUCUGGUGGAGGCUSGCAGCGGUUCUGACGUGCAAAUCGAUCGUCAAAUUGGCAU
Molecule: ribosomal RNA, 792 nt
Filed under: Ophiobolus senecionis
Lineage: Eukaryota; Fungi; Ascomycota; Dothideomycetes; Pleosporales; Phaeosphaeriaceae
Description: eukaryotic LSU rRNA
Rfam family: Eukaryotic large subunit ribosomal RNA
Source: RNAcentral